This 466-nucleotide ribosomal RNA is filed under the name uncultured bacterium. RNAcentral's name for it is "partial 16S ribosomal RNA". It matches the Rfam family "Bacterial small subunit ribosomal RNA", at positions 28 to 507 of the family's 1533-position model. The record is from RNAcentral.
GAUGAACGCUGGCGGCGUGCUUAACACAUGCAAGUCGAACGAUGAAGCCCAGCUUGCUGGGUGGAUUAGUGGCGAACGGGUGAGUAACACGUGAGUAACCUGCCCUUAACUCUGGGAUAAGCCUGGGAAACUGGGUCUAAUACCGGAUAGGAGCGCCUACCGCAUGGUGGGUGUUGGAAAGAUUUAUCGGUUUUGGACGGACUCGCGGCCUAUCAGCUUGUUGGUGAGGUAAUGGCUCACCAAGGCGACGACGGGUAGCCGGCCUGAGAGGGUGACCGGCCACACUGGGACUGAGACACGGCCCAGACUCCUACGGGAGGCAGCAGUGGGGAAUAUUGCACAAUGGGCGCAAGCCUGAUGCAGCGACGCCGCGUGAGGGAUGACGGCCUUCGGGUUGUAAACCUCUUUCAGUAGGGAAGAAGCGAAAGUGACGGUACCUGCAGAAGAAGCACCGGCUAACUACGUG